RNAcentral lists this transfer RNA (86 nucleotides) under Prevotellaceae bacterium. Its description in RNAcentral is "tRNA-Leu". It matches the Rfam family "tRNA". Rfam says of the family: Transfer RNA (tRNA) molecules are approximately 80 nucleotides in length. Their secondary structure includes four short double-helical elements and three loops (D, anti-codon, and T loops). The record is from RNAcentral. Lineage: Bacteria; Pseudomonadati; Bacteroidota; Bacteroidia; Bacteroidales; Prevotellaceae.
GCCCGGGUGGUGGAAUAGGUAGACACGCAGGACUUAAAAUCCUGUGAACAGCAAUGUUCGUACGGGUUCGAUUCCCGUCCCGGGUA